RNAcentral lists this ribosomal RNA (253 nucleotides) under uncultured bacterium. RNAcentral describes it as "partial 16S ribosomal RNA". It matches the Rfam family "Bacterial small subunit ribosomal RNA", at positions 524 to 776 of the family's 1533-position model. The record is from RNAcentral.
UACAGAGGUCUCGAGCGUUAGGCGGAAUCACUGGGCUUAAAGCGCGUGUAGGCGGAUCGUUAAGUGCCUUGUGAAAUCCCACGGCUUAACCGUGGAACUGCUUGGCAUACUGGCGAUCUUGAGCCAUCUAGGGGCCUGCGGAACAAACGGUGGAGCGGUGAAAUGCGUUGAUAUCGUUAGGAACUCCGGUGGCGAAGGCGGCACGCUGGACCCUCACUGACGCUGAGGCGCGAAAGCCAGGGGAGCGAACGGG